This 221-nucleotide ribosomal RNA is filed under the name uncultured bacterium. Its description in RNAcentral is "partial 16S ribosomal RNA". It matches the Rfam family "Bacterial small subunit ribosomal RNA", at positions 15 to 228 of the family's 1533-position model. The record is from RNAcentral.
GAUCAUGGCUCAGGACGAACGCUGGCGGCGUGCCUAAUACAUGCAAGUAGAACGCUGAAGGAGGAGCUUGCUCUUCUGGAUGAGUUGCGAACGGGUGAGUAACGCGUAGGUAACCUGCCUGGUAGCGGGGGAUAACUAUUGGAAACGAUAGCUAAUACCGCAUAAGAGUAGAUAUCGCAUGAUAGCUGCUUGAAAGGUGCAAUUGCACCACUACCAGAUGG